RNAcentral lists this ribosomal RNA (465 nucleotides) under uncultured Klebsiella sp. RNAcentral's name for it is "bacterial SSU rRNA". It matches the Rfam family "Bacterial small subunit ribosomal RNA", at positions 338 to 795 of the family's 1533-position model. The record is from RNAcentral. Lineage: Bacteria; Pseudomonadati; Pseudomonadota; Gammaproteobacteria; Enterobacterales; Enterobacteriaceae.
CCUACGGGGGGCUGCAGUGGGGAAUAUUGCACAAUGGGCGCAAGCCUGAUGCAGACAUGCCGCGUGUGUGAAGAAGGCCUUCGGGUUGUAAAGCACUUUCAGCGGGGAGGAAGGCGGUGAGGUUAAUAACCUCAUCGAUUGACGUUACCCGCAGAAGAAGCACCGGCUAACUCCGUGCCAGCAGCCGCGGUAAUACGGAGGGUGCAAGCGUUAAUCGGAAUUACUGGGCGUAAAGCACACGCAGGCGGUCUGUCAAGUCGGAUGCGAAAUCCCCGGGCUCAACCUGGGAACUGCAUUCGAAACUGGCAGGCUAGAGUCUUGUAGAGGGGGGUAGAAUUCCAGGUGUAGCGGUGAAAUGCGUAGAGAUCUGGAGGAAUACCGGUGGCGAAGGCGGCCCCCUGGACAAAGACUGACGCUCAGGUGCGAAAGCGUGGGGAGCAAGCAGGAUUAGAUACCCGAGUAGUC